Molecule: long non-coding RNA, 275 nt
Organism: Suricata suricatta (meerkat)
Lineage: Eukaryota; Metazoa; Chordata; Mammalia; Carnivora; Herpestidae
Exons: 3
Source: RefSeq, a predicted model, not a curated record
ACAGGCUUCAAAAGAUAAGAUGGCCCAGAGCGAGGACUGGUUGGCAUGUCCAUGGAAAUGCCUCUGGGGCUGGUGGUGAUUGUGGAGUAGUAAUAGGUGAGCCUAAAUAUUAUGAGAAAGUGGAACUCCUGACCUGCUUGGCAAUCACGUCCCCUGGAGUGACCUCAGAGGAGCCAGGAGUGAAGUGCAUACUCCAUAGACCUCCUGGAAGUCUUGCAUUUAACCCAUCGAAUUUUUGACUUGGUCUCAAUGAAAGAGGUGAUCCCUCUUAACAG